This 373-nucleotide ribosomal RNA is filed under the name uncultured organism. RNAcentral's name for it is "partial 16S ribosomal RNA". It matches the Rfam family "Bacterial small subunit ribosomal RNA", at positions 527 to 896 of the family's 1533-position model. The record is from RNAcentral.
GUAGGUGGCAAGCGUUGUCCGGAAUUAUUGGGCGUAAAGCGCGCGCAGGUGGGUUCUUUAAGUCUGAUGUGAAAGCCCCCGGGCUCAACCGGGGAGGGUCAUUGGAAACUGGGGAACUUGAGUGCAGGAGAGGAAAGUGGAAUUCCACGUGUAGCGGUGAAAUGCGUAGAUAUGUGGAGGAACACCAGUGGCGAAGGCGACUUUCUGGCCUGUAACUGACACUGAGGCGCGAAAGCGUGGGGAGCAAACAGGAUUAGAUACCCUGGUAGUCCACGCCGUAAACGAUGAGUGCUAAGUGUUGGGGGGUUUCCGCCCCUCAGUGCUGCAGCUAACGCAUUAAGCACUCCGCCUGGGGAGUACGGUCGCAAGACUG